This 107-nucleotide small nuclear RNA is filed under the name Microcebus murinus (gray mouse lemur). Lineage: Eukaryota; Metazoa; Chordata; Mammalia; Primates; Cheirogaleidae. The record is from RNAcentral.
GUACUCACUUCGGCAGUACAAAUACUAAAAUUGGAACGAUACAGAGAAGAUUAGCACAGCCCCUGAGCAAGGAUGACAUGCAAAUUCGUGAAGCGUUCCAUAUUUUU